GUCCAGGUCGUCCAAUGGUAGGACACCCCCAACUUGACAUUGUUGUUUCGCGGGGGAGGUCGGGGUUCAAUUCCCCGCCUGGACG
Non-coding RNA from Cladochytrium tenue, 85 nucleotides. The record is from the annotation of a GenBank genome assembly. NCBI's taxonomy places the organism in Eukaryota, Fungi, Chytridiomycota, Chytridiomycetes, Cladochytriales, Cladochytriaceae.